UUCGUAGGCGGUGUGGCAAGUUGGGAGUGAAAUCUCUGGGCUUAACCCAGAGGCUGCUUCCAAAAACUGCUGUGCUUGAGUGUGGGAGAGGCGCGUGGAAUUGCAGGUGUAGCGGUGAAAUGCGUAGAUAUCUGCAGGAACACCCGUGGCGAAAGCGGCGCGCUGGACCACAACUGACGCUGAGGAACGAAAGCUAGGGGAGCAAACAGGAUUAGAUACCCUGGUAGUCCUAGCCCUAAACGAUCAGGACUUGGGGUGCCGCCCGUUCGGGCGUCGUCCCGGAGCUAACGCGUUAAGUCCUGCACCUGGGGAGUACGGUCGCAAGACUGAA
This 331-nucleotide ribosomal RNA is filed under the name uncultured bacterium. Its description in RNAcentral is "bacterial SSU rRNA". It matches the Rfam family "Bacterial small subunit ribosomal RNA", at positions 568 to 898 of the family's 1533-position model. The record is from RNAcentral.